This 497-nucleotide ribosomal RNA is filed under the name uncultured bacterium. RNAcentral's name for it is "partial 16S ribosomal RNA". It matches the Rfam family "Bacterial small subunit ribosomal RNA", at positions 28 to 507 of the family's 1533-position model. The record is from RNAcentral.
GAUGAACGCUGGCGGCGUGCCUAAUACAUGCAAGUCGAGCGAACAGACGAGGCGCUUGCUCCUCUUACGUUACCGGCGGACGGGUGAUUCACACGUGUAUACCCUACCUAUAAGACUAGGAUAACUUCGGGAAACCGGAGCUAAUACCGGAUAAUAUAUUGAACCUCAUGGUUCAAUAGUGAAAGACGGUUUUGCUGUCACUUAUAGAUAGAUCCUCGCCGCAUUAGCUAGUUGGUAAGGUAACGGCUUACCAAGGCAACGAUGCGUAGCCGACCUGAGAGGGUGAUCGGCCACACUGGAACUGAGACACGGUCCAGACUCCUACGGGAGGCAGCAGUAGGGAAUCUUGCGCAAUGGGCGAAAGCCUGACGGAGCAAUGCCGCGUGAGUGAUGAAGGUCUUCGGAUCGUAAAACUCUGUUAUUAGGGAAGAAGAAAUGUGUAAGUAACUAUGCACGUCUUGACGGUACCUAAUCAGAAAGCCACGGCUAACUACGUG